AGACGGGGACCCGCACAAGCGGUGGAUGAUGUGGAUUAAUUCGAUGCAACGCGAAAACCUUACCUACCCUUGACAUGCCAGGAACUUGCCAGAGAUGGCUUGGUGCCCGAAAGGGAGCCUGGACACAGGUGCUGCAUGGCUGUCGUCAGCUCGUGUCGUGAGAUGUUGGGUUAAGUCCCGCAACGAGCGCAACCCUUAUCAUUAGUUGCCAUCAUUCAGUUGGGCACUCUAAUGAGACUGCCGGUGACAAACCGGAGGAAGGUGGGGAUGACGUCAAGUCCUCAUGGCCCUUAUAGGUGGGGCUACACACGUCAUACAAUGGCCGGUACAGAGGGUAGCCAACCCGCGAGGGGGAGCCAAUCCCACAAAGCCGGUCGUAGUCCGGAUCGCAGUCUGCAACUCGACUGCGUGAAGUCGGAAUCGCUAGUAAUCGUGGAUCAGCAUGUCACGGUGAAUACGUUCCCGGGUCUU
RNAcentral lists this ribosomal RNA (471 nucleotides) under uncultured Azospira sp. RNAcentral describes it as "bacterial SSU rRNA". It matches the Rfam family "Bacterial small subunit ribosomal RNA", at positions 912 to 1382 of the family's 1533-position model. Lineage: Bacteria; Pseudomonadati; Pseudomonadota; Betaproteobacteria; Rhodocyclales; Rhodocyclaceae. The record is from RNAcentral.